This 109-nucleotide small RNA is filed under the name Marmota monax (woodchuck). The record is from RNAcentral. Lineage: Eukaryota; Metazoa; Chordata; Mammalia; Rodentia; Sciuridae.
GCUAGGGGUGGUGGUGCACACCUGUAAUCCCAGUGACUCAGAGGCUGAGACAGGAUGAACCUUGCAAGUUCAAGGCCAGCCUGGGCAAUUUAGUGAGGCCCUGUCUUAA